UACGUAGGGUGCAAGCGUUGUCCGGAAUUAUUGGGCGUAAAGAGCUCGUAGGCGGUUUGUCGCGUCGAAUGUGAAAACCCGGGGCUCAACCCCGGGCCUGCAUUCGAUACGGGCAGACUAGAGUUCGGUAGGGGAGUCUGGAAUUCCUGGUGUAGCGGUGAAAUGCGCAGAUAUCAGGAGGAACACCGGUGGCGAAGGCGGGAUCCUGGGCCAGUACUGACGCUGAGGAGCGAAAGCGUGGGGAGCAAACAGG
This 253-nucleotide ribosomal RNA is filed under the name uncultured bacterium. RNAcentral's name for it is "partial 16S ribosomal RNA". It matches the Rfam family "Bacterial small subunit ribosomal RNA", at positions 524 to 776 of the family's 1533-position model. The record is from RNAcentral.